UGAGAUGCCCAAUUCUAUGUAAAGUGCUUUCGAAGAGUCGAGUUGUUUGGGAAUGCAGCUCUAAGUGGGUGGUAAAUUCCAUCUAAAGCUAAAUAUUGGCGAGAGACCGAUAGCGAACAAGUACAGUGAUGGAAAGAUGAAAAGAACUUUGAAAAGAGAGUGAAAAAGUACGUGAAAUUGUUGAAAGGGAAGGGCUUGAGAUCAGACUUGGUAUUUUGCGAUCCUUUCCUUCUUGGUUGGGUUCCUCGCAGCUUACUGGGCCAGCAUCGGUUUGGAUGGUAGGAUAAUGACUAAGGAAUGUGGCUCUACUUCGGUGGAGUGUUAUAGCCUUGGUUGAUACUGCCUGUCUAGACCGAGGACUGCGUCUUUUGACUAGGAUGUUGGCAUAAUGAUCUUAAGCCACCCGUCUUGAAACACGGACCAAGGAGUCUAACGUCUAUGCGAGUGUUUGGGUGUAAAACCCGUACGCGUAAUGAAAGUGAACGUAGGUGAGAGCUCUUAAGAGUGCAUCAUCGACCGAUCCUGAUGUCUUCGGAUGGAUUUGAGUAAGAGCAUAGCUGUUGGGACCCGAAAGAUGGUGAACUAUGCCUGAAUAGGGUGAAGCCAGAGGAAACUCUGGUGGAGGCUCGUAGCGGUUCUGACGUGCAAAUCGAUCGUCGAAUUUGGGUAUA
This 671-nucleotide ribosomal RNA is filed under the name Debaryomyces hansenii. Its description in RNAcentral is "partial large subunit ribosomal RNA". It matches the Rfam family "Eukaryotic large subunit ribosomal RNA", at positions 228 to 919 of the family's 3401-position model. The record is from RNAcentral. Lineage: Eukaryota; Fungi; Ascomycota; Pichiomycetes; Serinales; Debaryomycetaceae.